This 519-nucleotide ribosomal RNA is filed under the name Fusarium oxysporum f. sp. ciceris. Its description in RNAcentral is "eukaryotic LSU rRNA". The stretch from base 135 to 288 matches the Rfam family "5.8S ribosomal RNA". Lineage: Eukaryota; Fungi; Ascomycota; Sordariomycetes; Hypocreales; Nectriaceae. The record is from RNAcentral.
UCCCAAACCCCUUGAACAUACCACUUGUUGCCUCGGCGGAUCAGCCCGCUCCCGGUAAAACGGGACGGCCCGCCAGAGGACCCCUAAACUCUGUUUCUAUAUGUAACUUCUGAGUAAAACCAUAAAUAAAUCAAAACUUUCAACAACGGAUCUCUUGGUUCUGGCAUCGAUGAAGAACGCAGCAAAAUGCGAUAAGUAAUGUGAAUUGCAGAAUUCAGUGAAUCAUCGAAUCUUUGAACGCACAUUGCGCCCGCCAGUAUUCUGGCGGGCAUGCCUGUUCGAGCGUCAUUUCAACCCUCAAGCACAGCUUGGUGUUGGGACUCGCGUUAAUUCGCGUUCCUCAAAUUGAUUGGCGGUCACGUCGAGCUUCCAUAGCGUAGUAGUAAAACCCUCGUUACUGGUAAUCGUCGCGGCCACGCCGUUAAACCCCAACUUGUGAAUCAUGAGCAUCGGAUCAAGCAUGCAGAACGGCAAUGCUGCGAGUAAAUUCCACCAAUACGAUCAGUACGCGGAGGAGAG